This 474-nucleotide long non-coding RNA is filed under the name Macaca nemestrina (pig-tailed macaque). RNAcentral describes it as "lncRNA (ENSMNEG00000046134.1)". Lineage: Eukaryota; Metazoa; Chordata; Mammalia; Primates; Cercopithecidae. The record is from RNAcentral.
UUGAGGGGAACCUGGAUUUAUCUUCAUGUGGUUAACCUGAAGUGUACUGCGAAUAUGAGGGCUGAUAUUCAAGGGGUAAAGGGCAGCAACGCCAGCACCUUCUCCCAAAGCACAGCAAGUCUCCUCUUUGGCAGGCGGUUGAUCUGCCUGCUCUACCUUGGACACUGCGCUGCGUCCACGCAGGGGGCUAAGCCCCACGGGAACCGAGCGUUUCAUCAGGGUCACGCACCAUGGUUAGGAGACUUUCUUUCUUUCUUUUUUUUCUUUUUAUUGCAUACCUUAUUUUCAUCUGCAUCCAGUUAGCAAUAUGGUUGAGAAGCAAGUGGAGAAUUAACAUCCACUGGAAUUAAAACACUCAGCUCGCCCAUUUCUACAGCAUUUACCAGGAGCCUCUUCUGCUUGGAACCUGGCUAGGUGUUGGCCUGGACCCGUGGAAGGCAUGCCCCCUGCUCCUCAGAGGCACCAAGUUCAGCA